GAUGAACGCUGGCGGCGUGCCUAAUACAUGCAAGUCGAGCGAACGGACGAGAAGCUUGCUUCUCUGAUGUUAGCGGCGGACGGGUGAGUAACACGUGGAUAACCUACCUAUAAGACUGGUAUAACUUCGGGAAACCGGAGCUAAUCCCGGAUAAUCUUUUGAACCGCAUGGUUCAAAAGUGAAAGACGGUCUUGCUGUCGCUGGUAGGUGGAUCCGAGCUGCAUUAGCUAGUUGGUAAGGUAACGGCUUACCAAGGCAGCGGUGCGUAGCCGGCCUGAGAGGGUGACCGGGCACGAGGGGACGGAGAUACGGCACAGAGUCCUACGGGAGGCAGCGGUGGGGAAUAUUGCACAAUGGGCGGAAGCAUGAUGCAGCAACGGCGCGUGCGGGAUGACGGCCUUCGGGUUGUAAACCGAUUUCGCGUGUGAAGAAGCGUGAGUGACGGUAAUGGGUAAAGAAGCACGGGCUAACUACGUG
RNAcentral lists this ribosomal RNA (477 nucleotides) under uncultured bacterium. RNAcentral describes it as "partial 16S ribosomal RNA". It matches the Rfam family "Bacterial small subunit ribosomal RNA", at positions 28 to 507 of the family's 1533-position model. The record is from RNAcentral.